AAGUCGUAACAAGGUUUCCGUAGGUGAACCUGCGGAAGGAUCAUUAAAGAGAGAUAUUUUUUUUGGAAACUUGAAAAAUAGUUCCCAAAAAAACCCCCUCCCAACCCUUUUGUCAAUUAAAAAAAAUCUUGUUUUGUUGCUUUGGCGGGCAAGGAAAAAAAUUGGAAUACAAAAAGAUUAGUGGAUUAGUUAGUUGGGGUCCCAACUGAUUUUUCCCCCUAAAUUUUUUGACCCGAUUUUUUUCCCCGCCAAAAGUACAACCCAUUUAAAAUUCGUUGAACCAAAAAAUCAAAAAGUCUGAAUAAUUAUAAAAAUUUUAAAAGUCAAAAAACUUUCAACAACGGAUCUCUUGGUUCUG
This 358-nucleotide unclassified non-coding RNA is filed under the name air metagenome. Its description in RNAcentral is "partial contains small subunit ribosomal RNA, internal transcribed spacer 1, and 5.8S ribosomal RNA". The stretch from base 1 to 46 matches the Rfam family "Eukaryotic small subunit ribosomal RNA", at positions 1786 to 1831 of the family's 1831-position model. The record is from RNAcentral.